Coturnix japonica (Japanese quail) is the source of this 1686-nucleotide non-coding RNA. The record is from RefSeq and is a predicted model, not a curated record. NCBI's taxonomy places the organism in Eukaryota, Metazoa, Chordata, Aves, Galliformes, Phasianidae.
UGGUGCAGCCCGGAGGGGCACGAGCCGUGGGCACGCGCCGAGCCCUAACGGUACCGGCUCCUCACGGCCCCGGCUGCUGCCCGUUGUCCUGCGGCUCUUCGGGCCGCUGUAGUUGAACGGGGAGGCGCAGGAAGGGCAGCCGGGCCGCCCGCUGCGAUGUGCCCGAGGAGGGCGGCCUGCCCGCGGGACAAUGCUCCGGGCAGCGCGAUGGAGCCCCGUGCGCGGAGCCGCCCUGGAGCGGCCGGAGGAGGAGAGUCCGGUGUGAGGGUGGCUGACUGUCUGUGCCAAGCAGUUGAGGAAGAGGAAGGAAACCACUUGGGUGACUUUUCCUGGAGGGAGAGGGACUUCUCUGAUCUAAUUGGGAAAAUGUUACUCGGAAUCAUGGACAACUACAAGAAGCACUUCUAAGGCGGAGGACAGGAGAGGAGCCAGUAUCUUACCUGGCUAUUAAUAGCAGUGUCUUGUCUGAAAGAGAGCAGAUCACCAAAGCAUGAUGAGCAAGAAAGCACUUUCUCUUUCCUCCAUACCAGAAGACAACACCAGUUUAAGGUUUGACGGCUUCUGUGGGUGGCUUAUGAGCUGAACCUUCUCUCCAAACACAAGGACACAGGGGUCUGUCACAUAUCCCAUGAAGAACCAUCACCUAGAAACUGUGCUUCACCUCGUGAGAAUCUCAGUCAGGGAUCCUUCAGUGUGUGUCACAUGGACGAAAAGAAAGGGGGAAACUCCUCCUCCUGCAUGAACACGGCCACAGAAUUGUCUUAAAGGUGCCGAGUUCCUACAAUCCACGUGCAGCACACACAGCCCUCUUCCCACCCAGACCAUCCCAGCAGGGAAGUCCUGCUGGGCCAGCUCAGCCCCAUGGGUAAACCUGGCUGUGGACUUGCACAAACACCAUGAGUACCAUCAAGCUAAAUUAUAAGUUAAAACUAGAGGUCAUCCAAGUGAUGGUUUCUAAGCACCUUCCAAGAGAAGUGGGAGAAACUCGUUGCCCAAAACUUCUGAAGCUGUGCUGGAACCCAUUGUAGGUGAUCUACUGAGUCAGCUACAUAAAGACUGCAGACUCAGAAAUAAGAAUGUAGAAAUGUGUGACUCACAUUAUAAGUAGAAAUGCAUGUAUAACUUCUGGCUCCAAGUACUUCUACCUGCUUCUAGUGUCUAGAACACGAAAUUGUAUGGAGGCUUUGCUCUUGUGACUGAGGCUGCAGUACAGAGGAGUGCAUUAACCUAGAGAGGUGGUACAUAUCCAUGGUCAGCUCACCGUUUUCUCACAUGCUUGUUUUCUAGUGGUGCUCAUGGAGGCUGUGAUCAGACAGCAAACUGUAUGGUCUUCUUAAGCUAAGUUGACCCAGCUUUGACUGUCAUUUUUGACCAGACACAUCUGGGUGAGCCCUGGGUGCUCUGCAACUGAGCAGCAUAAGAAUAUCUAAAGCCUGCUGCUAACAGUGGGACACUUCUUUGCUGACAUACCAAACCAUUAUAACAGUAUCCAUCACAGGUUAAUAGUCGGUGUGUGAGUGAAUGAGUGAUGUGUGAAGAGGUGUCGCAUCUGGUCCUUGUGCUGUUUCUGCUAUCACAAAGAAGAAUAGGAGCUGUAAAAUAAAAAGGGUGUAUUUAAUGUCAGGAGAAAACAUAGGCCCACCUAUGAUGCUAGCUCAGGCACAAGAGCGUGGCAGCCAAGAUGGG